GACGAACGCUGGCGGCGUGCUUAACACAUGCAAGUCGAACGGACAGGCCCUGCUCUUGUGGGGCGCUCGAGUGGCGAACGGGUGAGUAAAACGCGAGUAACAUGCCCCUGACUUUGUGAUAACACUAGGAAACUGGGGCUAAUACCGGAUAGGAGCUCUUGAUGCACGGUGGGGGAUGGAAAGUUCCGGCGGUUGGGGAUGGACUGGCGGCUUAUCGGCUUGUUGGUGGGGUAGUGGAUUACAAAGGUUUUGACGGGUAGCCGGCCUGGGAGGUGGACCGGCCACAAUGGGACUGAGAGACGGACCAGACUGCUACGGGACGCAACAGGGGGGAGUAUGGCAGAGUGGGCGGGAGCCAGAUACGACGGCGCCGCGUGCGUGAUGACGUCCUACGAGUGGUAAACCGCUUUCGCCGGUGACGAGGCGGGAUUGACGGUAAUGGGUAAGAAAGCACCGGCUAACUACGUG
Molecule: ribosomal RNA, 468 nt
Filed under: uncultured bacterium
Lineage: Bacteria
Description: partial 16S ribosomal RNA
Rfam family: Bacterial small subunit ribosomal RNA
Source: RNAcentral